RNAcentral lists this long non-coding RNA (423 nucleotides) under Trifolium pratense (red clover). RNAcentral describes it as "long non-coding RNA (TPRA_LNC000845)". Lineage: Eukaryota; Viridiplantae; Streptophyta; Magnoliopsida; Fabales; Fabaceae. The record is from RNAcentral.
UCUCUCUUUGUAACUCCAAAUUCAGUGGGGUUUGAUUAUGUGGAAAGAUAACUCGAUUACGGUCAUUUCGGUAGCCGUUUGGUGAAUUAUGGAUCCAAAUUGAGUUGUAUGCGAAGCUUUGAAGUUGUGAGUCGAAAGCAGAUUUUUUGCAGAAUUUUGGGGGACAUACCCUCACUAAAACGGUAAUUAAUCUCUCUUUGUAACUCCAAAUUCAGUGGGGUUUGAUUAUGUGGAAAGAUAACUCGAUUACGGUCAUUUCGGUAUCCUUUUGGCAAAUUAUUGAUCAAAAUUGAGUUGUGUGCGAAGCUUUAAAGUUGUGACUCGAAAGCAGAAUUUUAGGGGGGGCAAAAUCCAACAAAUUAUAAAACAGAGGGGGUAAAAGUCCGCGUUUAAAAACAGGGGGGGUAAAAUUCCGAUUUAAUC